Molecule: ribosomal RNA, 294 nt
Filed under: uncultured bacterium
Lineage: Bacteria
Also listed under: 1 other name
Description: partial 16S ribosomal RNA
Rfam family: Bacterial small subunit ribosomal RNA
Source: RNAcentral
ACAUGCAAGUCGAGGGGCAUCGGGGGAGAGCUUCGGCUUUCCCGCCGGCGACCGGCGCACGGGUGAGUAACGCGUAUCCAACCUGCCCUUCACUGGGGGAUAACCGGGAGAAAUUCCGACUAAUACCGCAUAUGAUGCCUGAACGAAUGUUCGGGUUUUGAAAGAUUUAUCGGUGAAGGAUGGGCAUGCGUGAUAUUAGGUAGUUGGCGGGGUAACGGCCCACCAAGCCGACGAUAUCUAGGGGUUCUGAGAGGAAGGUCCCCCACAUUGGAACUGAGACACGGUCCAAACUCC